UUAAGAAUCUUGCACAAUGGGGGCAACCCUGAUGCAGCGACGCCGCGUGAAUGAUGAAGGCCUUCGGGUUGUAAAGUUCAGUAAGCAGGGAAGAAUAAGCAACGGGUAAUAUUCGUUGUGAUGACGGUACCUGCCUAAAGCCCCGGCUAACUACGUGCCAGCAGCCGCGGUAAUCCGUAUGGGGCAAGCGGUGUUCGGAAUUAUUGGGCGUACAGGGCGUCAAGGCGGGGGAUUAAGUUAGAUGUGAAAGCUAUGGGCUCAACCCAAAAACUGCAUCUAAGACUGGUUCUCUUGAGUCCGGGAGAGGAGAGCGGAAUUCCAGGUGUAGCGGUGAAAUGCGUAGAUAUCUGGAAGAACACCAGUGGCGAAGGCGGCUCUCUGGCCUAGGACUGACGCUGAAGCGCGAAAGCGUGGGGAGCGAACA
This 424-nucleotide ribosomal RNA is filed under the name uncultured prokaryote. Its description in RNAcentral is "bacterial SSU rRNA". It matches the Rfam family "Bacterial small subunit ribosomal RNA", at positions 355 to 774 of the family's 1533-position model. The record is from RNAcentral.